UCUAGCCCACUAGAUCUGCCACCAGGGACGGCUAGGGUGAGGGAGGAGAGCCUCCAUGGUUGCCGGAUCCGCCUACGUCGAGGCCGGAUCUACCUCCCCAUGCGCCACCGAUGCGGGAUCCACCUGUGCUAGCCGGAUCUAGUGGAGGCGGUGGAGGAGCGCUGCCAUGCAGGGAGAGGGAGGAGGGAGAGCCGCCCUAGCGCCACCAUCGAUGGGAAGGUAGGGGGAGCUUGCGCCGCCAGUGCCGGUCCAUGCCUCAUGCGCCGCCCCACUGCCGGUGCUUGACAGGAUCCUUCUCCACCGUUGACAUGAUCCUUCUUAUUGAGCAAGUGACAAGUGAUCAACAAAAAAGAAGUGAGCACAAGAAUCUGAUUCAGUGGUUUACUUGGUUCCAGUUCAUGCAAGGUGAGGAUGGACGGGGAGUGACAAGGCCAGGCGAUUUCGUAGAUAGAGACGAGGCAAGGCUGGGAGAGGUGGUAAUAGUUAACUAAUUUUCUUUACACAGACAUCUUGAUAUUCACCUCAUCAGGUAUUGCAAGUUCAGGUACUGCUUCCUAUGAUACUAUUACUUGCAUGCAUCAUUUGAAGUUCAGGUAUUUUGUUUGUAUGCAUCACUUCAAGUUAAUUGAAUAGCCUAAAAUAAAAUUAUAGACAUAUGAUACUUUUUGCUGAACAAAAAACCUUCAUGCAUUGCAAAGGUACACGUCCAUGAAUCUCCCAGUGAGAUCGCCGCCGUCCUCUCCAUCACAAUUAAUUUUUUAUUAAUAAGUCAACCAUAGGUACUGCUAGCUGAGCGAUCAGCAACGACAUGUAUAGUGAUAUCCGGACUUUAAAAUGUGCUGAUAUACUUUAUCGAUUUUUAUAUCUUGCAAAUUUGGGAACAUUAAACUGCUCUUUUUCUAAUAAAAUAUAACAUUGAACUUAUUUUUUUGUUCUGACUUUAUGAAACUAGGAAUGGCGCUCCAGCUGCUUGCACAGCAAGAGUGGUGUCAAUGAGCUUCCACAAACUGACUGCAGUAAAGCCAUUUCACUCUUUGAUAUCUACAACAUGGGAUACUAGAUGUUACAAGUCUUGACGUUGAAAGCCAUUCAUCAUCAGUAAUAGCUUAAGGUGAAGUCUGAACACCUCACACCAAACAAAAACUGACUGCAGUAAAGAAGAUAAUUGUGCUUGUGCAUACACAACUCCAACUAACCUGUGUGCUUUGACGGAACCAAAGUAGAUACUGACAUGCUGCAAUGUUUUUUCUGUCUCUCAGUCAAACCUAUCUUGAACAACUACUGCCUACCUUAUCUUGGAGCAACCUCCUGCCUUUUAAAUAUACCAUUAUAUCUUGAGCAAUUGAGUAGUCAAUGGCGAAGCCUUGUUAAGCCAUCGGGGUCCGACGACACCAACGAUUUUGCCGUAAACAAUUAUAGCGAUCAAAUUUUUACCGACAAGACCCCACUAAAAAUUUCGUUAGACCCUUGUGCACCCAGCGGCAGGCAGCAGCAGCAUUCUGUACUUUGGAGUCCAGCCCAGCAACAACAGUCCAGCCCAUCUACUUAAUUAGUCCAUCUACUUAUUGACUUAAUUAGCCCACAUGAUCCAUACGUGAACUGGAGAAGCCGAGAAGACAAAACUUGUCCUUGCUAGCUUGCCUCCGAGGCUCUGAUCCAGUGUUAUUAGCACACCCUUUCACCUUUGGCAGUUCGGCUCCGUAUCAUGACGCAUCGCCUGCCUGCCGCCGGCCGCCGGCAUCGCCCCUAGCGCUGCUCAUUCUCCGGCUGUCGACUGCUCCAAGACAUCUAGACAAGACAAGGGUUCUUUUCCAGCUAUAGUACAAUACAAUCUGAAGUUCUGAACCCGGAUUCUUAGAAGUCAGAAAGCAUUACUCAAGAUUCAAUACUCUAAAAUGUUAUCUCCAGACUCCAUCUGUCCAGCAAGAUGCCAGUCAAUCAAAGCACUUUGAAUGGAUUUCUCAAAAGGAAAUUACCCCCAGAUAGUGAUAAUCAGAAUAAUCAUGGAGACACAAACACUUCAAGAAUAAGAAGAGAUGGAGAUGGCACUGCAUCAAACAUUAAUUGUCAUGUUCAGCACACUACGUACACGGAUCUCACGAGAUGAGAGAAAAGAUAAAGAUAUCAUGGAGGCCAUGAUGGAGGUGAAGUUAACCAAGCAGAAAUUUCAGCUAAUUAGAGAUGAUGGUUGGGAUUCUUUAUUGCUGGUUGUGCAGUCAUUUUGUGAACAACAUGGAAUUCCCAAGUUGCAUAUGGAUGAGGAAUAUAUUGAUGCUAUAGGCCAAGAAAAAAGACCAUUCGAACAAACUAUCAACAUUACAGAUAUGAUUGCUUGAAUCCAAUUAUGGACUUGCAGCUUGCAGAAUUCAAUGAUCGUUUCAAUGACGUAAACUCUCAAUUGCUCACUCAGAUUGCUGCUUUCAAUCCCAAGAAUAAUUUUGAGACUUUCAAAUUUAAUAGUUUAAUGGAGUUGGCUAAGUCAUAUCCUGAUGAUUUCAAUUCAACACAACUAACGGAUCUUGGUGAUGAGCUUAAUCUUUAUAUUGACAAUGUGCGAGCUGAUGAGAGAUUUGCCAACCUAAACACUAUUUCUGAACAUGCUAAGUUGAUGGUGUGUACAAACAAGCAUCUGGGUUUUCCUUUGGUGUAUUGGCUUCUCAAGCUAGUACUAGUUCUUCUAGUUGCCACUGCAUCUGUUGAGAGAUGCUUUUCAGCUAUGAAAAUUGUGAAGACAAUACUAUGAAAUCGUAUUGGAGAUGGAUUUACGAAUGAUUAUCGUAUGCUUUGUGGAACCAGAAUUUCUAGCGAAAAUUCCAAUUGAUGAUGUCAUCAUUCGCUUUCACAAGAUGAAGGAUCAUAAUCGCAGAGGGAACCUAUAGGAGAUACUAUUAAAACUUCUUUUGUUAUAAUUUAUCAGCUGCUACAAUGCUAUUUUAUAUUUUUUGAUGUUAUGUACGGUACUAUAUUAUCACAACCUUAAAGUUAGUAUAUUAUGGGCUUGUCUUGACCCUAGCUGCGAUAAAUCCUGGCUUCGCCCUUAUGAGUAGCCAUUGUCAAUUCUUCGUAUUUUCUGAAGGGAUUGUAAAACGACUAUAUGCAUACUAGUUGGUGACUUUAGUAGUCUUGCUAUUCUCUGGUAUA
Long non-coding RNA from Sorghum bicolor (sorghum), 3141 nucleotides. RefSeq lists it as uncharacterized. The record is from RefSeq and is a predicted model, not a curated record. The transcript is spliced from 7 exons. Lineage: Eukaryota; Viridiplantae; Streptophyta; Magnoliopsida; Poales; Poaceae.